AGAAGAGGGAGAGAAGAGAAGCGAGCCCUAACCCUAGCCCGGAUCCCAACCACAACGAUUCCCCUCCGAAGAAGAAGAGGGCGAGAGAGGUAGAGAUUUCUAUUCCUAACCCUAACCCUAGCCUGGGCCUCGUCGACGAUGGCGAGGGGUCUCAUAAGAAGAGGAAAAAGAGGAAGAGGGACGAGCUGGAGGAGCUGUACGAGCGGAAGAAGUACGGCGAGCUGAUCGGAAAGGCCUCUGAGCCGGCGGCCCCGCUCGUUGGCACCAAGCGGAAGGCUCAGGUCGCCUCGCCGGAGAUGGCGGCCAUGAAAGACAGCUUCGACGAUGAGAGCAAGCUCUUGAGGACUGUGUUCAUUGGGAACCUCCCCUUGAAGAUGAAGGGGAAGGCAUUGAUGAAGGAGUUUGCGAGGUUUGGGGAGAUCGAGUCCG
This 429-nucleotide unclassified non-coding RNA is filed under the name Hevea brasiliensis (rubber tree). The record is from RNAcentral. Lineage: Eukaryota; Viridiplantae; Streptophyta; Magnoliopsida; Malpighiales; Euphorbiaceae.